AAGGUAGACAUAAAUACAUUAACUCAUAACCUGCAGACUCUUGAAGAAGAGAAUAAGCACCUGGCAGAUCAAAUGGCUUCCCUAGAACUUCAGCAAGUCACUUCUGAUUACCAUGGGCUUGCCCAACAGAAGGUGGAAAAAGUCUUGGGAAAAAUUACUGAAAGUAAAAAUAGACUGGCCUAUGAAAACGGAAAACUCCAGGUGAAAUCUAUUCUUGAAAGAAGUAAAGAGGAGCUGUCCCGAACAGUGAAGUGUCGUAAUGCGGCCCUGAAAGAGAGUCAGAAGUUGAAAGAAGACCUCGAGGCUGUGGAGGACAGGGAAAACAAGAAGGUGGGAAACUUUCAGCGACAAUUGGCAGAAGCUAAAGAAGACAACUGCAAAGUCACAAUCAUGUUGGAGAAUGUGCUGGCUUCUCACAGUAAGAUGCAAGGUGCUCUGGAGAAAGUACAAAUAGAGCUUGGGCGGAGAGAUUCAGAGAUUGCAGGCCUCAAGAAAGAAAGGGAUCUCAAUCAACAGAGGGUGCAGAAGCUGGAAGCUGAAGUGGACCAGUGGCAGGCCAGGAUGCUUGUCAUGGAGGACCAGCACAACAGUGAGAUUGAAUCUCUACAAAAAGCUCUAGGUGUAGCUAGAGAAGACAACAGGAAACUUGCUAUGAGUCUGGAACAAGCUCUCCAGACAAAUAAUCAUCUGCAAACAAAGCUAGAUCACAUUCAAGAGCAAUUGGAAAGCAAAGAACUUGAGCGACAGAAUUUGGAAACCUUCAAAGACCGGAUGACUGAAGAGUCCAAAGUGGAAGCAGAAUUGCAUGCUGAACACAUAGAAGCUCUAAGAAAGCAGUUUCAAACCGAGAGAGAAACUGCAAAGAAAGUGGCACAACGGGAAGUGGCUGAGCUGAAGAAAGCCCUUGAUGAAGCUAACUUCAGAUCAGUGGAAGUGUACCGGACCAACCGAGAGCUGCGACAGAAACUUGCAGAGCUAGAAAAAAUACUAGAAAGUAACAAGGAGAAAAUAAAGAAUCAAAAGACCCAAAUUAAGCUCCACUUGUCAGCUAAGGCGAAUAAUGCUCAGAAUAUAGAAAGGAUGAAGGUUGUAUGAGAAACCUCUUUUCACUUCCUGGAUACCCUGUGAGGAUGUAGUCAGUCAAUGGUGUCUAGGGAAGACAGGUUUUAGAACCCUACCAGCCCCGUGUAUUCUCUGGGAAUUAUAGCCAGUUGUCUUUGGGGAGAC
This 1227-nucleotide small RNA is filed under the name Pan troglodytes (chimpanzee). Its description in RNAcentral is "processed transcript". Lineage: Eukaryota; Metazoa; Chordata; Mammalia; Primates; Hominidae. The record is from RNAcentral.